Molecule: long non-coding RNA, 429 nt
Filed under: Homo sapiens (human)
Lineage: Eukaryota; Metazoa; Chordata; Mammalia; Primates; Hominidae
Description: HSALNT0322641
Source: RNAcentral
UGGGAGCCGAAAGUUGGGGUCUUGCUCUGUCGCUCAGGCUGGAGUGCAGUGGCAUGAUCAUGGGUCACUGCAGCCUUGAACUCCUGGGCUUAAGGGAUCUUCUCAUCUCAGUCUCCUAAAUAGCUGGGACUACAGGCUCAGGCCACCAUGCCUGGACAUCUGAGUUCACCACACUGGCCACAGCUGACUGGAACAGUUGACAGAUUCAUCUUCUACCAUGCUUGGACAUCAGUGCUCCUGGUUCCUGGGCCUUUGAACUUGGAUGAGGACUUACUUAGACCAUUGUCUCCCUUGGUUCUCAAGCCUCUGGGUUGUGCUGGAACUACACUGCUGGCUUUCCUGGGAUUUUAACUUGCAGACAGCAGAUUGUGGGACUUUUCAGCCUGCAUAACUGCAUGAACAAAUCCUCAUAACAAAGCUCUUUCUAAA